RNAcentral lists this ribosomal RNA (438 nucleotides) under Legionella sp. RNAcentral's name for it is "bacterial SSU rRNA". It matches the Rfam family "Bacterial small subunit ribosomal RNA", at positions 394 to 826 of the family's 1533-position model. The record is from RNAcentral. Lineage: Bacteria; Pseudomonadati; Pseudomonadota; Gammaproteobacteria; Legionellales; Legionellaceae.
CAUCCGCGUGUGUGAGAAGGCCUGAGGGUUGAAAGCACUUUCAGUGGGGAGGAGGAUAGCAUGGUUAAGAGCUGAGCUAUUGGACGUUACCUACAGAAGAAGCACCGGCUAACUCCGUGCCAGCAGCCGCGGUAAUACGGAGGGUGCGAGCGUUAAUCGGAAUUACUGGGCGUAAAGGGUGCGUAGGUGGUUAAAUAAGUUAGAUGUAAAAACCCUGGGCUUAACCUAGGACUGAGAUUUAAUACUGUUUAACUAGAGUAUGGGAGAGGGUAGUGGAAUUUCCGGUGUAGCGGUGAAAUGCGUAGAGAUCGGAAGGAACACCAGUGGCGAAGGCGGCUACCUGGCCUAAUACUGACACUGAGGCACGAAAGCGUGGGGAGCAAACAGGAUUAGAUACCCUGGUAGUCCACGCUGUAAACGAUGUCAACUAGCCGUUGG